GGCGCCGUGGCUUAGUUGGUUAAAGCGCCUGUCUUGUAAACAGGAGAUCGGGGGUUCGAAUCCCCCCGGGGCCU
This 74-nucleotide transfer RNA is filed under the name Polistes canadensis. RNAcentral describes it as "tRNA-Thr". It matches the Rfam family "tRNA". Rfam says of the family: Transfer RNA (tRNA) molecules are approximately 80 nucleotides in length. RNAcentral also lists the same sequence under 1 other name. Lineage: Eukaryota; Metazoa; Arthropoda; Insecta; Hymenoptera; Vespidae. The record is from RNAcentral.